AUUGAACGCUGGCGGCAGGCCUAACACAUGCAAGUCGAACGAGUGGCGGACGGGUGAGGAAUGUCUGGGAAACUGCCUGAUGGAGGGGGAUAACUACUGGAAACGGUAGCUAAUACCGCAUACCAUCAGAUGUGCCAAGAUGGGAUUAGCUAGUGGGUGGGGUAACGGCUCACAAAUGCGACUAUCCCUAGCUGGUCUGAGAGGAUGACCCGCCACACGUGAACUGAGACACGUUCCAGACUCCUACGGGAGUCAGCAGUGGGGAAUAUUGCACAAUGGGCGCAAGCCUGAUGCAGCCAUGCCGCGUGUAUGAAGAAGGCCUUCGGGUUGUAAAGUACUUUCAGCGGUGAGGCGUUACCCGCAGAAGAAGCACCGGCUAACUCCGUGCCAGCAGCCGCGGUAAUAC
Molecule: ribosomal RNA, 406 nt
Filed under: uncultured bacterium
Lineage: Bacteria
Description: partial 16S ribosomal RNA
Rfam family: Bacterial small subunit ribosomal RNA
Source: RNAcentral